GGGCUCGUAGCUCAACUGGUAGAGCGCCCGGCUCAUAACCGGGCGGUCGGUGGUUCGAGUCCACCCGAGCCCACCA
RNAcentral lists this transfer RNA (76 nucleotides) under Thermotoga sp. RNAcentral describes it as "tRNA-Met". It matches the Rfam family "tRNA". Rfam says of the family: Transfer RNA (tRNA) molecules are approximately 80 nucleotides in length. Their secondary structure includes four short double-helical elements and three loops (D, anti-codon, and T loops). RNAcentral also lists the same sequence under 8 other names. Lineage: Bacteria; Thermotogati; Thermotogota; Thermotogae; Thermotogales; Thermotogaceae. The record is from RNAcentral.